GCCGGGUGUGGUGGCACAUGCCUGUAAUCCUAGGAGCUUGGGAGGCUGAGGCAGGAGGAUUGCAAGUUCAAAGCCAGCUUCAGCAACUUAGUGAGGCGCUAAGCAACUUAACAAGACCCUGUCUCUA
RNAcentral lists this small RNA (127 nucleotides) under Marmota monax (woodchuck). The record is from RNAcentral. Lineage: Eukaryota; Metazoa; Chordata; Mammalia; Rodentia; Sciuridae.